UACGAAGGGGGCUAGUGUUGUUCGGAAUCACUGGGCGUAAAGCGCACGUAGGCGGAUCUUUAAGUCAGGGGUGAAAUCCCGAGGCUCAACCUCGGAACUGCCUUUGAUACUGGGGAUCUCGAGUCCGGGAGAGGUGAGUGGAACUGCGAGUGUAGAGGUGAAAUUCGUAGAUAUUCGCAAGAACACCAGUGGCGAAGGCGGCUCACUGGCCCGGAACUGACGCUGAGGUGCGAAAGCGUGGGGAGCAAACAGG
This 253-nucleotide ribosomal RNA is filed under the name uncultured bacterium. RNAcentral's name for it is "partial 16S ribosomal RNA". It matches the Rfam family "Bacterial small subunit ribosomal RNA", at positions 524 to 776 of the family's 1533-position model. The record is from RNAcentral.